RNAcentral lists this ribosomal RNA (254 nucleotides) under uncultured bacterium. RNAcentral describes it as "partial 16S ribosomal RNA". It matches the Rfam family "Bacterial small subunit ribosomal RNA", at positions 524 to 776 of the family's 1533-position model. The record is from RNAcentral.
UACGGGGGGGGGCAAGCGUUGUUCGGAAUUACUGGGCGUAAAGGGCUCGUAGGCGGCCCUCUCAGUCGGAUGUGAAAUCCCCAGGCUCAACUUGGGAACGGCAUCCGAUACUGGAGGGCUUGAAUUCGGGAGAGGGAUGCAGAAUUCCAGGUGUAGCGGUGAAAUGCGUAGAUAUCUGGAGGAAUACCGGUGGCGAAGGCGGCAUCCUGGACCGAGAUUGACGCUGAGGAGCGAAAGCUAGGGGAGCAAACAGG